UGAAUAUUUUGGUAAACUUAUCGAAAGGUAAGGGCACAAAGCUAUGGGUCUAAGGAUACAAGUGUAUCUAUGAUUGCCAGGUUGCCUGU
RNAcentral lists this non-coding RNA (89 nucleotides) under Sporomusa malonica. Its description in RNAcentral is "c-di-GMP sequence". It matches the Rfam family "c-di-GMP-I riboswitch aptamer". Rfam says of the family: GEMM was predicted in a large-scale screen for bacterial structured RNA regulatory elements. Lineage: Bacteria; Bacillati; Bacillota; Negativicutes; Selenomonadales; Sporomusaceae. The record is from Rfam by way of RNAcentral.